Molecule: long non-coding RNA, 1223 nt
Filed under: Marmota monax (woodchuck)
Lineage: Eukaryota; Metazoa; Chordata; Mammalia; Rodentia; Sciuridae
Rfam family: tRNA (bases 1075-1144)
Source: RNAcentral
AUAUACUUUCCACCUUCAACUCCCAAAGCUGACAUUCCUUACUUAAACUAUUCCCUGCACUCGACCAGUUGCUUAAAUUUUGACUUCUAUGUCACUAUCAACUUUUAUUCAAUGAUCCAUUCUCCUAUGUAAAUCGUGCAUUUAAUGCUUUUCCCCGUUAAGACAUUACUAAUCCAUGUACAUAGGACAUUAUAUGUUUAAUCAACAUUAAUAAUACUCCCACCAUGCAUAUAAGCACGUUCAUAAUACUAACAUAGUACAUAAUACAGUACCUUAUAACUUCACAUUAAAUGCUUGCCAAUACGACUGUGGUCACUCAAAUAAUCCCUGUUCAAAGUACAUAGUACAUUAAUAUCACUGGCGGUACAUACCACAUUAAGUCAUAAACCUUUCUCGCUCCAAAUGACUAUCCCCUACCAACUUUGGUCUCAUAAUCUACCAUCCUCCAUGAAACCAUCUACUCACCCACGUCGUGUCCCUCUUCUUGCUCUGAUCCCAUUUAACUUGGGGGUAGCUAAUUAUGUACUUUAUCUGGCAUCUGGUUCCUACCUCAGGGCCAUAAAUCGCAUAAUUGCCCACUCGUUCCCCUUAAAUAAGACAUCACGAUGGAUUAGUUCCAUUCUAGCCCGUGACCCAACAUAACUGCACUGUCAUGCCUUUAGUGGUUUUAUUUUUUGGGGGAUGCAGGGACUCACCAUUGGCCGUCAGAGGCCUCGUUCCAUUCAAUUCAAUUGUAGCUGGACUUAUUAGUCAAUAUUCUCACUUUACAUAACUACUAUCUGCCAUAGUCGGGCUUAAUGCUCAAUAGACAAAAAAAAAAGUUAAAACAGAAAUUCCAUAGUAGAUCCAAAUGCAAAAAUAAACGUUUAACCAAUUAUCUUUUUCUCAGAACCUAUUUAAAUCUUCUUACCUGCUUUAAAUUUUAUUAACUUCUUUCUCAGUAGAUUAAACUUAUAAAUAAAUUUUGAUUAAAUCUCCUUAUAUAACUAUACUAUAUUAUACUUACACUAAUAAUACUUACAUAUAACUCUGUUUACCAAAUCUUAUAUAAGCAUAUCUCCCCAAAAUUCAUAUGUUAAUGUAGCUUAAUUUAAUAAAGCAAAGCACUGAAAAUGCUUAGAUGGGUAUUUAUACCCCAUAAACACAUAGGUUUGGUCCUGGCCUUUUCAUUAGCUUCCAGCUAACUUAUACAUGCAAGCAUCCCCGUCCCAGUGAGAAUGCCC